GCUCCGUUGGUGAACCAGCGGAGGGAUCAUUACCGAAGUUACCUUCAAAACCCACUGUGAACAUUACCUCUUGCCGCGUUGUCUCGGCGGGAGGCGGUGUGCGUCGCGCGCCCUAGCGGGCCGCGCCGCUCCCGUCCCCGCCGGCAGCGCCAAACUCUAAAUGCACAGCGGACUGUACGUUCUGAUUUACAAAAAAAACAAGUUAAAACUUUCAACAACGGAUCUCUUGGUUCUG
This 235-nucleotide unclassified non-coding RNA is filed under the name plant metagenome. RNAcentral describes it as "partial contains small subunit ribosomal RNA, internal transcribed spacer 1, and 5.8S ribosomal RNA". The record is from RNAcentral.